GUUGACCUCGGAUCAGGUAGGGAUACCCGCUGAACUUAAGCAUAUCAAUAAGCGGAGGAAAAGAAACCAACAGGGAUUGCCUCAGUAACGGCGAGUGAAGCGGCAACAGCUCAAAUUUGAAAUCUGGCGCAAGCCCGAGUUGUAAUUUGUAGAGGAUGCUUCAGGGCAGCGGCCGGUCUAAGUUCCUUGGAACAGGACGUCAUAGAGGGUGAGAAUCCCGUAUGCGACCGGUUGGCACCCGUCACGUAGCUCCUUCGACGAGUCGAGUUGUUUGGGAAUGCAGCUCUAAAUGGGUGGUAAAUUCCAUCUAAAGCUAAAUACCGGCCAGAGACCGAUAGCGCACAAGUAGAGUGAUCGAAAGAUGAAAAGCACUUUGGAAAGAGAGUUAAAAAGCACGUGAAAUUGUUGAAAGGGAAGCGCAUGCAACCAGACUUGUCGGCGGUGUUCCGCCGGUCUUCUGACCGGUCUACUCGCCGCCGGCAGGCCAGCAUCAUCUGGGUGCGCCGGAUAAAGGCGUGGGGAAUGUAGCUCCUCGGAGUGUUAUAGCCCCGCGCACAAUACGGCGCCGCCCGGGUGAGGUCCGCGCUUCGGCUAGGAUGCUGGCGUAAUGGUUGUAUGCGGCCCGUCUUGAAACACGGACCAAGGAGUCUAACAUCUAUGCGAGUGUUCGGGUGUCAAACCCCUACGCGGAAUGAAAGUGAACGGAGGUGGGAAGCGCAAGCUGCACCAUCGACCGAUCCUGAUGUCUUCGGAUGGAUUUGAGUAAGAGCAUAGCUGUUGGGACCCGAAAGAUGGUGAACUAUGCCUAAAUAGGGUGAAGCCAGAGGAAACUCUGGUGGAGGCUCGCAGCGGUUCUGACGUGCAAAUCGAUCGUCAAAUUUGGGUAUAGGGGCGAAAGACUAAUCGAACCAUCUAGUAGCUGGUUC
RNAcentral lists this ribosomal RNA (926 nucleotides) under Teratosphaeria macowanii. Its description in RNAcentral is "eukaryotic LSU rRNA". It matches the Rfam family "Eukaryotic large subunit ribosomal RNA", at positions 1 to 957 of the family's 3401-position model. Lineage: Eukaryota; Fungi; Ascomycota; Dothideomycetes; Mycosphaerellales; Teratosphaeriaceae. The record is from RNAcentral.